UAGUGAAAAUGAUAGCAAUCAUCUUUUGGGACUGACCUGAAAUGAAGGGAAUACUCCUUCCUAAUCACUU
Zalophus californianus (California sea lion) is the source of this 70-nucleotide small nucleolar RNA. Ensembl annotates it as small nucleolar RNA SNORD2. The record is from Ensembl. NCBI's taxonomy places the organism in Eukaryota, Metazoa, Chordata, Mammalia, Carnivora, Otariidae.